Molecule: ribosomal RNA, 513 nt
Filed under: uncultured bacterium
Lineage: Bacteria
Description: bacterial SSU rRNA
Rfam family: Bacterial small subunit ribosomal RNA
Source: RNAcentral
CACCUACGGGAGGCUGCAGUGGGGAAUCUUGCGCAAUGGGGGCAACCCUGACGCAGCCAUGCCGCGUGAAUGAUGAAGGCCUUAGGGUUGUAAAGUUCUUUUGCCCGUGACGAUGAUGACGGUAACGGGAGAAUAAGCUCCGGCUAACUUCGUGCCAGCAGCCGCGGUAAUACGAAGGGGGCUAGCGUUGUUCGGAAUUACUGGGCGUAAAGCGCGCGCAGGCGGUUCGAUAAGUUAGGGGUGAAAUCCCUGGGCUCAACCCAGGAAUGGCCUUUAAGACUGUCGAGCUAGAGGACGAGAGAGGUGAGUGGAAUUCCCAGUGUAGAGGUGAAAUUCGUAGAUAUUGGGAAGAACACCGGUGGCGAAGGCGGCUCACUGGCUCGUUUCUGACGCUGAGGCGCGAAAGCGUGGGGAGCAAACAGGAUUAGAUACCCUGGUAGUCCACGCCCUAAACGAUGAGUGCCAGGUGUCGGGAAGCUUAGCUUCUCGGCGCCGCAGCUAACGCCUUAAGCA